This 4908-nucleotide long non-coding RNA is filed under the name Anneissia japonica. RNAcentral's name for it is "uncharacterized LOC117102276". Lineage: Eukaryota; Metazoa; Echinodermata; Crinoidea; Comatulida; Comatulidae. The record is from RNAcentral.
ACACUUGAUUGACAGAAUAAUUUUAAAGGCCAGUCGCUGUCGCGCGCUCUGCAUGCAGCAUAGAGAAAGGAACUAUCGCAGUGUGGAUUUACUUUAGGUUCGUGGGUUGAGGCCUACAUGGGAUCUCCCUUGUAAAAACCAUGAAUUUAUACCGUCAUCUGCCUGACGAUCCACAGGAUGACCACAUGAAGCUUGGUCAUCAGCGUAUUCUUCUUCGGGAUAUUAACGAACAAAUCACUUGUCGGUUAUGCAAUGGUUAUCUUAUUGAUGCUACCACAAUAACAGAGUGCUUACACACCUGUACCAGCAAAUUGCUUGGCGUAACCUGCAGUGGACCAGCAUCCUACCCAGCGGGAGCAUUACACACUCUUAUCUAUCUAACGCUACUCCAACCCAUAAUAUGAGCACCAUGGCUUGACAAAAAUCUACUUUUUUUUUUUACUUUGCACAUCAUGCCUAUCUAUCUUGAUAUGAGCCAUGAAUGAGGCAAAGACAAAUUCCUUUUUACAAUUUGUUACCUUUUGCUGUGAAUACACUAAUUAAUUCAGAAGAAAGUGAACUGAUUAACUGAAAAUGAUUAUUUUAAAUAGUACUUUAUACAAGUUGGAUAAUCUAGCUUUGUUGUAUCAGAGGAGUACUUUGUGUAUUGUGUGUGCGGUUAGUAUUAACCUAAUUUGCAGAUUAACAGUCAGUAGCUUUGCAAAUUGUGUUGUACUGUACAAUUCAUGAAUAAUUCAUAAGACAGUCAACGUAAAUACUGACUCUGCAGUGUUGAAUAUCAAUAACAAAAUCAUUCUCAUAAAUAUUCAUUAAGAUUGUAUGAUAGAAAUUUUAUAAAUCAUGCUCAUCAUACUGUACAGUAACUCGUAAGGAGCCUUAGUUAUGCUAAUUGGAAGAAUGAUAAAAAAUAAAAGGUUUUAAACCAUAUAGAAAUGGUCGUUUAAUUCAUGUUAAAAGUCAUAUAGGGCUGUCAACAUGUAGUAUCCCAUUCUUGUGGUUAAUAAUUGGAUUAUUAAUAUAUUGUGAGGAAGCUAGAUUAUUUAUUGGAAAAUUCUGUCUCUCCCCUCUGAAAUUUCAAUUUUUUCAUGGAGAUGGGUGUAAACAGGCCAAAAAUAAAAGUUUUUAUUUGAAAGUCUGCAAAACAAGGUGUACAAUUUCUCGUCUAAUUCAUUACAGUAUAUGAGAUUGUCCUUCCUGGUGCAUGGAGAAGUAUAAGACAAUACUUUAUUAAACAUAAAUCAAUUUUUUAACACUAACAGCAUGUCCCGGAAUGAGCACUGUAAAGUGUAUUUUAUGUUUCCUUCACUAUUCUACUACAUAAACAGAUAAAAAAUACUUAGUUUAGAAAAUGAUGUGACAAUAUAGUAUAGCACAUGUUUAGCAUGAUAAAGUGACUCCAUCUUAAAACAAUGAAUUUGGGUAAUAUCAUAAAAUAUAGAAAAACCAAUUGUGAUUGAUGUAGCAUUUUUUGAUAACAUGAUGGUUUUACUUUAUUAGCUACAAAACCAGGUGAAUUUACUUAAUUCUUUUUUAAGCCAUAUUUUUAAAAUCUAUUUAUGAUUUAAUAAUAACAAGGAUUUAGUUUACAUAUGUAGUUCAUAGAAUUGUUUUAAGUAUGCUACUGUUAAGUAUGUCAUUUCCUGUCUGUGAUUAAAAGAAACAACUGUAUGCACAGGUACCAGUAUUGUAAUAUGCAAGUGGUUCUGGUAUCCUUGUAUUUAAUGCUUUCCUGUUGUUGAUAGUAUGUUAAUUGUUGUACUGUACUACUAGGUAGUUUUUCCCUGAAGUAAUUCCUGCGACAAUAUUGUUGUUGUUUUGGUUUUUUUUCCCCUUUCAUGCAUAUGAAAACAAAAUUUGUCAGCUAUUUUGCACACAGGACCAACAGCUUAAUUGUUUCAUCCGAAAGACGAUGUACUUUUUAUUUUAAGCCCAUCAGCUGAUAAUGCACACAUGACCAACGGCAUGAACGUCUCAUCCGAAAGAUAGAGCGCUUUUUUAUUUCCACCCUAGAGUUGUAACACAAGGAGAGCAGUGGAUAGAAUUGAACUGGGGACCAAGAGGUCUCUGAGGUGUAGCGCACACACAGUCGCUACCACAAGUUUAGUCACCUGGACUAAGCUGCCACUGAUUCAAUUGUGCACCUUUAUGCACAAAAUGGUUAAAUUGAAUGUUAUCCUUUAUUAUUUUCACCUUGCAGUAUCAUGUUCCAUGACCCUAGGCUUGCGUUUCAUUAUCAUUGUAAUUAUGAUGUGAAAUGUAUGGUUGUAUUUAAAAGAAAUAAAUAUACCUGAUUUGAAUUCACAUUUGGAUAAUGAAAUUUUGUUUAGCGUCUGUAUUUGCUAAACAAUAAGCAAUCAUGAAACUCAACAAAUAAUCAAGUAUAGUGCUAUACAUUGCCAUUGGAUAGGUACAUAAACAAACCUGGUUGAAAUGAUAUUUAGUCUUAAUUUUCUUCAAUGACAUUUUGGUUUGGUUGUUAGUUAUCAAUGGAUAAUUAUUGAAUCAAUUACCAUAAGUACCAUAUUUAUGAGUAUAGUAUUAGUUAUCUGGAUAGAGUAAAUGUAUUCACUCAUUUAAAAGAAUACUCAAAUUUCUCUGAGUUAAAGACCUUUUUCAACAAAAAUCCUUAAAUUGAUUUUCUUGCAAUUUAAAAGUCUAUAUGAAUGACAUUAUUUAUUUGUGCAUGUAUUACAUUAAUAUUGAAUUAUGUAUUUGUAAUGCUUUUUGUAGCUCAUCUCACAGAUGAGCUACAUUUUACAUUUGAAUUGCUUAAUUUGUAUAUUUAAGUAAGCUAUAACUUAACAUAAAAAUAUUAGAAAUUUAAAAAAAAAUAAUUCCCCCGUCAAUGUCCAGUUAAUAAUUGCUUUCCUGUAAAUCUGUAAAUUGGUAAAGACACCGUUUUUUGUUUCUCCUUCGAAGCUAAGAAUAAUUUAUUCGAUCCUUUCAAAUGAGCUUUAUUCAAAAUUUCAUUUGAAUUUUUGAGAUAUUUUCUUGCUUUUUGACUGAUAAUGCAUCUUAAACUUUAAAUUAAAUUACAUCUUUUUUUGUGCUAAUGGCCUAACUGCAUCUAAAAAAUCAUUUCUCUUCUACCUUAAAAAUCUGAUACCUUAGUAGUCCGUCAUAAUUACGUUCAAAUAUAUCUCUUGUUUCAAUUUGGAAGUCAAAUUCCAAUUACAGGUUGAGUGACAAUGAUACAAAUAUUCGCAGCCUAGCAUCAGUAUGAGAAGCUUACAGUAUUUAUGAUGUAAACAAAGACACAUCAUGCAAGCUUUCAUUACUUAUGAUACAGAUAUUCUUUUUCUCUUCUCAUUAUAUGUUAUACACAAAUUGAUGGUAGCCUGGGGAGAUGAUCAUUUAUUAUUAUUGGGUGCACCUGCCAAUGGCUGCCAAACCACAGGAUAUGCCUGAAAGCUUUCCUCCAUGGAUAAAGCUCUUUUUACAGAUUACUGUUUGGGGAAGGGAAAGGGAGAAGAUUGCAAAUUACCCAUUAAUAACCAAUACAUUUAUAGAGAAUGAAAAGUAAAUUGGUCAAUGGUCAAUGGCUGUACAAUUUUGCAGUACAUAUUAUAUUUAAAUUUGUAUGCACAGUCUCAUUUACUUGAUUAAAAAGGAGGCUAACCUUUACGUCUAAUAGUGUAUUAGAAUCUUUUUUUUUUGGUAUAGAUUGUAGUAAGAUAUUUUAAGCUAAGAAUUUUGUAAUAUGAGUUCUUACUUGGUCUGAUAAGAAAUUAGUAGGCAAUAUUUAUUAUUAACAUAACAAAAUGUAGUAUUGCUGCUUAAGUUUUGGCCAAUAUAAAAAUGCAGUUUAAUAAUAAAAUAAUGAAGUUCAGAUGUGUAUUGUAUAGUAAAUAUGAAUAAAUAAUAACAAUUAUAUAAUAUUAGUUUUAUAUAGGAUGUAUGCAAAUUGAAAAUGCCACUGUGUGUUAUUCUAUUAGGUACACUAACUGCAAUAAACCCAAACAUACCAGUAGGUACCGUAUACUAUAUUCAUGUGUACAGUAUGAGACAAGGCUUUAAAUAGCAAAUUACAAUCUUAUGCGCAUACAAUUUUUGGUUCAAAUCAUGUUUGCCUUAUGUGCGGAUCGUCCGCAACACGCUAAUUUACUACUGAAAUAAAGCUGCUAACUGUUCGUAACAAUGAACGCAAUUUUAAAAGCGGGGAAACAAGAUUUUGAUGAACAUUUAAAAGCCCAUAAAAUGGUAUUACUAUUUGAAAGGUUAGUCCUACAUUGGGCUCAGUUUUUAUCCAGCUAGAUGUAGUAUCAAUACCAUCAGUGGCGGCUCUAGGAUAUAUUUUCUGGGGGACUAAGUUGUCCGACAGGGGGACUUGAGCUCGUAGGCUUGAGCUUGGAGAAGGGUUUGAGAGGGGGGUUCCCCCUCCCAAAUGCGAUUUUUUUACCAUAUUAUACUUAUGAAUUGUCUUGGAAAUGUUGAUGUUAGGGAGUAUUCUUAAACCCAACUUAAGGUGGUUUUCCACUAAGCGAAUUUAUUCGCUCAAAUAAAAGUGUCUGUUCGCUUCCUGAGCUCUGAUUGGUUGCGCAUUUUUUUGCUUCGCAAAAACCUGAUAGAAAUGUGAAUGCGCAUGCGUAUGAACCAACGCUUUCGAUUCGCGCUAACAAAUUCGCCUAGUGGAAAACCAGCUUAAGACAGCAUCGUAUGCUGCAGCUUAACGCAAUAUAUCAUCGGGGACAAUCUUGAGGUCGUUGUGAGAAUAUUGAACAAGUUUAAUAUUCUACAACAAUGCAAUUGUCCCUGACACAGAGCUAUUGCAUCAGCGUUUAAGUCACACAGAGCCGAUGCGAUUUGUUGUUGCAUUGGGUGUGGCAUUUGACAUUAAACUUAUUGAAAAGCUACCAUGUGGGCUUAUGCCCGAGAGUGGACCUGAGGAAUUUGGUAUGAAAUUUAAAA